ACGCACGCUGGCGGCAUGCCUCACCCAUGCAAGUCGCACGAGACCUUCGGGUCUAGUGGCGCACGGGUGCGUCACGCGUGGGAACCUGCCCUUAGGUUCGGAAUAACUCCCCGAAAGGGGUGCUAAUACCGGAUAAUGUCUUCGGACCAAAGAUUUAUCGCCUUUGGAUGGGCCCGCGUUGGAUUAGCUAGUUGGUAGGGUAAAAGCCUACCAAGGCGACGAUCCAUAGCUGGUCUGAGAGGAUGAUCAGCCACACUGGGACUGAGACACGGCCCAGACUCCUACGGGAGGCAGCAGUGGGGAAUAUUGGACAAUGGGCGAAAGCCUGAUCCAGCAAUGCCGCGUGAGUGAUGAAGGCCUUAGGGUUGUAAAGCUCUUUUACCCGGGAUGAUAAUGACAGUACCGGGAGAAUAAGCUCCGGCUAACUCCGUG
RNAcentral lists this ribosomal RNA (432 nucleotides) under uncultured bacterium. RNAcentral describes it as "partial 16S ribosomal RNA". It matches the Rfam family "Bacterial small subunit ribosomal RNA", at positions 29 to 507 of the family's 1533-position model. The record is from RNAcentral.